GACAGAGGGGGCAAGCGUUGCCCGGAAUCACUGGGCUUAAAGCGCGUGUAGGCGGGGUGGCACGUCCGUCGCUGAAAUCCCCCGGCUCAACCGGGGAACGGGCGCGGAUACGACCAUCCUCGAGGGACGUAGGGGGACCUGGAACUUCCGGUGGAGCGGUGAAAUGCGUUGAGAUCGGAAGGAACGCCCGUGGCGAAAGCGAGGUCCUGGACGUCUGCUGACGCUGAGACGCGAAAGCCAGGGGAGCGAACGGG
RNAcentral lists this ribosomal RNA (254 nucleotides) under uncultured bacterium. RNAcentral's name for it is "partial 16S ribosomal RNA". It matches the Rfam family "Bacterial small subunit ribosomal RNA", at positions 524 to 776 of the family's 1533-position model. The record is from RNAcentral.